This 497-nucleotide ribosomal RNA is filed under the name uncultured bacterium. Its description in RNAcentral is "partial 16S ribosomal RNA". It matches the Rfam family "Bacterial small subunit ribosomal RNA", at positions 28 to 507 of the family's 1533-position model. The record is from RNAcentral.
GAUGAACGCUGGCGGCGUGUCUAAUACAUGCAAGUCGAGCGAACAGAUGAGGAGCUUGCUCCUCUGACGUUAGCGGCGGACGGGUGAGUAACACGUGGAUAACCUACCUAUAAGACUGGGAUAACUUCGGGAAACCGGAGCUAAUACCGGAUAAUAUAUUGAACCGCAUGGUUCAAUAGUGAAAGACGGUUUUGCUGUCACUUAUAGAUGGAUCCGAGCCGCAUUAGCUAGUUGGUAAGGUAACGGCUUACCAAGGCAACGAUGCGUAGCCGACCUGAGAGGGUGAUCGGCCACACUGGAACGUGGACCCGGUCCAGACUCCCACGGGAGGCAGCAGUAGGGAGUCUUCCGCACUGGGCGAAAGCCUGACGGAGCAACGCCGCGUGAGUAAUGAAGGUCUUCGGAUCGUAAAACUCUGUUAUUAGGGAAGAACAAAUGUGUAAGUAACUAUGCACGUCUUGACGGUACCUAAUCAGAAAGCCAGGGCUCACUACGUG